This 460-nucleotide ribosomal RNA is filed under the name uncultured bacterium. Its description in RNAcentral is "bacterial SSU rRNA". It matches the Rfam family "Bacterial small subunit ribosomal RNA", at positions 29 to 534 of the family's 1533-position model. The record is from RNAcentral.
AACGAACGCUGGCGGCAGGCCUAACACAUGCAAGUCGAACGCCCCGCAAGGGGAGUGGCAGACGGGUGAGUAACACGUGGGAACCUUCCCAACAGUACGGAAUAGCCCAGGGAAACUUGGAGUAAUACCGUAUAUUCCCGAGAGGGGAAAGAUUUAUCGCUGUUGGAUGGGCCCGCGUCGGAUUAGCUAGUUGGUGAGGUAACGGCUCACCAAGGCGACGAUCCGUAGCUGGUUUGAGAGAAUGACCAGCCACACUGGGACUGAGACACGGCCCAGACUCCUACGGGAGGCAGCAGUGGGGAAUCUUGGACAAUGGGCGCAAGCCUGAUCCAGCCAUGCCGCGUGAGUGACGAAGGCCUUAGGGUUGUAAAGCUCUUUUUACCGGGGGACGAUAAUGACGGUACCCGGAGAAUAAGUCCCGGCUAACUUCGUGCCAGCAGCCGCGGUAAGGUGCGCGAGU